RNAcentral lists this ribosomal RNA (722 nucleotides) under Neomisticius rhizomorphoides. RNAcentral describes it as "partial large subunit ribosomal RNA". It matches the Rfam family "Eukaryotic large subunit ribosomal RNA", at positions 367 to 916 of the family's 3401-position model. Lineage: Eukaryota; Metazoa; Nematoda; Chromadorea; Rhabditida; Sphaerulariidae. The record is from RNAcentral.
AAAAGCACUUUGAAGAGAGAGUUAAAGAGGACGUGAAACCGAUAAGAUUGAAACGAAUAGAGCUGACGUAACCAGUCUGCAUUCAGCUGUCGAGUUGUGCGUUCGUUGGUUGACCGUGUUGCGUGCCUGUUGCGCGCGGUCGAUUGACGCUUCGUGCGGCGAGGCGGUGGUUUUGCGGAUGUAGUGCGCUGGAAAGCGUUCUGCAGCGGUACGAAGCUGACAUUGAGGGCUUUGCGCUUGCGUGUGGAGUGUCCCAUGUUGGUGGAGGACUGUUUGCGGGGUGCGUGCGAGCAUGGCCUUCGAGCUGGUCGAUUGCUGGGGGUGUCACGGGAUGCGUUCGCAUGCGGACGCGCUUGUGGCUAACUCGGCGGUUGGCCUAUGUUCACUUGCUCUCAUCCGGUGUAAGAGUCGGUCAUCUAUUCGACCCGUCUUGAAACACGGACCAAGGAGUUUACCAAGUAUGCGAGUCAUUGAGCGUUAAAAACUCAUAGGCGUAAUGAAAGUGAAGACCGUCGUGAUUACGAUUGAUAUGCGAUCCUUGUUUGCUUCGGCGGCAGGGCGUAGCAUAGCCCCAUUCUGAUUGCUUGCAAUAGGGUGGAGGUAGAGCAUACUUGGUGAGACCCGAAAGAUGGUGAACUAUGCCUGAGCAGGAUGAAGCCAGAGGAAACUCUGGUGGAAGUCCGAAGCGGUUCUGACGUGCAAAUCGAUCGUCUGACUUGGGU